This 98-nucleotide non-coding RNA is filed under the name Burkholderia sp. WP9. The record is from RNAcentral. Lineage: Bacteria; Pseudomonadati; Pseudomonadota; Betaproteobacteria; Burkholderiales; Burkholderiaceae.
UUGAGCCGUAUGCAGGGAAACUUGCACGUACGGUUCUUAGGGGAGGCUGCAGCGGCAACGCUGUGGGAGGUGUCAGGAAUAGUGAGCAACUGUCUUAC